RNAcentral lists this long non-coding RNA (831 nucleotides) under Setaria italica (foxtail millet). Its description in RNAcentral is "long non-coding RNA (SITA_LNC003531)". Lineage: Eukaryota; Viridiplantae; Streptophyta; Magnoliopsida; Poales; Poaceae. The record is from RNAcentral.
GCGCGGUUUUCUACCACUAGUUGUUAUGGUAGCAGUUUGGAACAAAACUUAAUCAAGAUAUAUGAAGCACCAAUGCAAACUGAUCUGAUGUCUAACGACGGACUCUCUCAACUACUACAGAUCUGCUUAAAAGUAGGCUCAUGAAAUCAUGAUCUGCUUAAUUUGUUAAUACUUUCUCGAGGACCAAAAAUGGUUUAAAAGAAAAACUAAUUGACGGAACAUCCUAGACAUGUUAAGCUGUACACGUAUGAUGAUGAUCUUGCGUUAAGAACUAACCCCUAAAAAAAACUUUGUUCUCAAGAUGCCGUUGCUGCUGCCGGGAGCUACAAGCGGACGCAGUCGAUGCCGUCGACCCCGACGACGCCGGGGACGCCGUCGUCGUCGACGACGCCGCGCGGCGGCAACAACGUGUGGCGCAGCGUGUUCCACCCCGGGAGCAACCUGGCCACCAAGAGCAUGGGCGCCAACCUCUUCGACCGCCCGCAGCCCAACUCCCCCACCGUCUACGACUGGUAAGCGCCGUCCAUGGUCUCAAUGCCCCGGCAUCUCUCUGCCGUCCUCGCCGUCCUUUGGUUUAUACUCCGUAUUAGUACUUAGCAGUAGGAUGAUCUCUACUUAGUAGUACUAUAUGGUUUGAUUGCUUACUAUAGUAGUACUAUGCUGAUCUGCCAAGGCUCAGAUCGAGCAGAGCAUCAAAGCAGGUGCCCUCUGAGACUUAGCUGAAUGAAUUAUUACUGUUUCUGUUUCAAACACCAGAAUAAGCAGGUCAACUAGCUAGUGAGCCAUGAGGUUAGCACUAAACUGAAUGGUUACUGUUUCUGUUUCAAGAAC